Orcinus orca (killer whale) is the source of this 2162-nucleotide long non-coding RNA. RefSeq lists it as uncharacterized. Lineage: Eukaryota; Metazoa; Chordata; Mammalia; Artiodactyla; Delphinidae. The transcript has 3 exons. The record is from RefSeq and is a predicted model, not a curated record.
AGCUGGGCCCUGCGACUGCGGGGUGGGUGGCGGAACCGAGGGCGGAGGGCGGCGACGCGAGGGUGACCAGGGUGGCAGGCCGGGUGUCUGGGGGGAGAGCUGGCACUGAACGGGUGGGAGCCAGGGGACUGGAGCCCGUGGAGAGGGUGUCAGGUGCGCCGGAAAGGAGAGCGCUGUGCUCCGGGUGCUGGCAGGUGUCAGGGGUGGCGGGGUGGCGCAGGUUUCGCUACCAGCGAGGAUUGCGGCCCUCCUCCGCCCAGGGCCGGAGACCCCUAAGCCACCCUCCCUGGUGAGACCACCGCCCCUUUCCCCAGCCCUUAGAGGCCAACGGCUGUCCUGCGGCCGAACCUCGGUCGCACAGAGUCUUGGGAGAGGACAGGCUGCCCCAGGAGAAAGUGAUCAGUUUGUUGGGGUCUGAAGGCGGUGACCUUGGACACCUAAGGCCCAAGAGCCCCAGGGUGCCCUCCGCCCCGCCCCCCCCCAGCAUCCGCGCGUCCUCUCUUUUGUCUCCUGCCAAGGGCCCCUUCUCUGUGGCGGCAGCAUCCAUGGCUGGGGCGACCUCCGCGCCUCCUCCGCCCUGCGCGACCCUCUCCAAGAGUCCACAGCUCCCCGGCUGAUACCCAGGACCCCUCCACCCCGCGGGCGCCGGACCCCGAGGCGGCCCCGUGGUCCCCAACCUUCUUGCCGCUGCCGCGGGUGAGGGACACGCCUGAAAACUGCAGCACCGCGAGGCGAGAGGGCCCGAAUGAGCCGGGUUCCCGCGGCGGAGCGCAGCCCGCAGCUGUUGAGUGAGACCCUCCCAGAAGUGUCAGCAAGCUGUCAUCGCCUCCCUUCCCGCUGGGGGUGGAAGGGGGGCUUGCAGCCCAAUUCCUGGGCACAAAGAGAGACAGAGAGAACAAAAGCCCAGCCGCCCCCAAACACCCCUUGUGCCCGACUGCAGCUCGGGGCAGAGGUCCCCAGAUGCGGCGGCCGGAACCAGGGUUGGGAGGGGUCGGGCAGGGGGCAGAGGGGCGGAAGGUCGGCCCACAUGCCCGCUUGCGGGGCUCCAGCGCCUGACCCCGAGUUACUAACCCAGCUCCCACAGAUGCAGAAGCGUCCAGGGCGAGUGAUGCCCGGGGUCACACAGCAAGUUAAAGACAGGACUCAGGCCGGAAUCCCGCUUCCCGGCUCCCAGCCCUGGGCAAGGGGACCGCGUCCAGGCAGAAAGGGCUGUGCCUGGUGUCAGCACCCGGACCUGGGGGUGGCGGCUCGGGUGGGACCGAGCCGCGCGGGAAGGACCCAAGCGACGGCCGCACACACGCUGCUGGUGUGGACGCGCGCCGAGCGGCUAGAGCCCCGCCCGGGCGCCGAGCGCAGCGCUCCCGGGGAUGAACUCCUCGCCCGACACCUUGAGCCCCACCAGCUCCCGCACCUAACGGUUUAUUUCUCAGCUCCCGUUUCACCGCCAAAUUUCCGCGGAGGGCCCGGCGUGGAAACGCGUGUUCAAGAUUACGUGGAUAAAAGGACCCUUUCCUCCAGGGUUUCUUUUUUGGGAAGGGGCUUCGGAUAAGGCGAGGGUGGAACUCAUCCUUCCGAAAGCCUGGAUGCCCUUGAGGACUCAGUACUUCGGGCUCAAGGCCUGCCUUCAUUUCAUACCAUUUGCCGGUACUGUCCCGCAUCCCCGCCUCUACCGAGUGGGCAUUCUCGUUAACUGUUCCACGGCCCCUCCCCAACUUGGAAGUAUGAUACUGCGCAUUUUAAUUUUCACAAGGAGCUGGUUUUGUAUCGGAAGGAUGUGUUGAUGACAGCCAAGUCUUUCCCUGAAGUUUUCAGUUUAUCUGCCAACCCAUAUCACCCUUAUUCUGCUUAGCUCUCAGAGAAGAGGCUGGUGAAGAAGGGCUUUCAAAGAGAAAGACAAAUCGCUCUCAGUUGGGUCCUCCAGCAUCCAAGCGUUUCUUUUUGUCUGUGUAUUACACUCAAUUCCUCUCCAUCUCGGUCGUUGUACAUCAGACAUGAAGGCGUCAGAACAGUAUAUUUCAUCAUCACUUACAUGCUAUUAACUUUAAUGAUGCACUAACAUUUCUAAAUUUUCCCUUCCUGAGACCAUUGUAGAAAUUACACAUGUAAAAUAAAAUUCGACCUUUAUUUUAUGCAUAGCAUCGUGUGGCUGAGGUGAGUAAGAU